RNAcentral lists this ribosomal RNA (460 nucleotides) under uncultured bacterium. Its description in RNAcentral is "partial 16S ribosomal RNA". It matches the Rfam family "Bacterial small subunit ribosomal RNA", at positions 338 to 795 of the family's 1533-position model. The record is from RNAcentral.
CCUACGGGAGGCAGCAGUGAGGAAUAUUGGUCAAUGGCCGUAAGGCUGAACCAGCCAAGUAGCGUGAGGGAAGACUGCCCUAUGGUUUGUAAACCUCUUUUAUGCGGGGAUAAAGGUGUCCACGUGUGGAUGUUUGCAGCUACCGCAUGAAUAAGGACCGGCUAAUUCCGUGCCAGCAGCCGCGGUAAUACGGAAGGUCCGGGCGUUAUCCGGAUUUAUUGGGUUUAAAGGGAGCGUAGGCCGGUCUUUAAGCGUGCCGUGAAAUUUUGUGGCUCAACCAUGAGAGUGCGGCGCGAACUGGUGUCCUUGAGUGAGCGGAAGGCAGGCGGAAUUCGGGGUGUAGCGGUGAAAUGCUUAGAUAUCACGAAGAACCCCGAUUGCGAAGGCAGCCAGCCGCAGCGUUACUGACGCUGAAGCUCGAAAGCGCGGGUAGCGAACAGGAUUAGAUACCCUAGUAGUC